UACGUAGGGUCCGAGCGUUGUCCGGAAUUACUGGGCGUAAAGAGCUCGUAGGCGGCUUGUCGCGUCGGCUGUGAAACCUGGGCUCAACUCUGGGCGUGCGGUCGAUACGGGCAGGCUCGAGUUGGUAGGGGAGACGUGGAAUUCCUGGUGUAGCGGUGAAAUGCGCAGAUAUCAGGAGGAACACCGGCGGCGAAGGCGGGUCUCUGGGCCAUAACUGACGCUGGAGGAAGCGAAAGGCGUGGGGAGCGAACAGG
Molecule: ribosomal RNA, 254 nt
Filed under: uncultured bacterium
Lineage: Bacteria
Description: partial 16S ribosomal RNA
Rfam family: Bacterial small subunit ribosomal RNA
Source: RNAcentral